Molecule: long non-coding RNA, 652 nt
Filed under: Medicago truncatula (barrel medic)
Lineage: Eukaryota; Viridiplantae; Streptophyta; Magnoliopsida; Fabales; Fabaceae
Description: lncRNA gene23155
Source: RNAcentral
CAAUAUUGAAAAUUUCUCUAAAUUCAAACACAAAUAAACUUUGUGAUAAAGAAACACAAACCUCAGCCUGAGAUUUCAAAGCAAGCUUGAAGAAUCCAGAGGCAACAAAGUGUUUCCCAACAGACUCUGCCAAUUUGAUUUGUCCAAUCCAAUAAGAUGAAGUCUCAAGCUUAUCAAAACGACAUUUGCUACAAUUUACUGCGCUGUAAAACGGUGUAGCUUGCACUUUACUCUUGCCUCUACCAUGAGAAGUUGUUGCUGGAGUUUUAGGCUCCUCUGCAGAAUCACUUUCCUUUAACAUUGCUUUUUCUGCCAACUUUUGUGGGAAUGUGUCACUCUUCUUGUUCUUUAUGGGCUUGACAUUUUCUGGUGAUUUUUUAUCAUUAGGUUGUGUUAAAGUGGUGAUUUCAGUGGGAACUUGUGUUGCUGGAAUUGGUUGUUUGGGUUGUUUAUGUGGAACUGCAGGUUUUGGUUUGGUGGUAAUGUUGUCCGAAAUGGGCUUUUUCGGAAUGUUAUCGUUUGUGUUCCAAGGGGUACCGAAAGCUCGGUUUUGUCUGAAACAAAAAUAGAGAAUGGAAAUUGAGAAAAAAAUCAAAUAACAAUGUAAAGGAAUUCAUGAUUUUAAAUAGAAUUCAGAUUGCCUCUGGUCGUC